RNAcentral lists this ribosomal RNA (253 nucleotides) under uncultured bacterium. RNAcentral describes it as "partial 16S ribosomal RNA". It matches the Rfam family "Bacterial small subunit ribosomal RNA", at positions 524 to 776 of the family's 1533-position model. The record is from RNAcentral.
UACGGAGGGUGCAAGCGUUAUCCGGAUUCACUGGGUUUAAAGGGUGCGUAGGAGGGCAGGUAAGUCAGUGGUGAAAUCCCCGAGCUUAACUUGGGAACUGCCGUUGAUACUAUCUGUCUUGAAUGUUGUGGAGGUGAGCGGAAUAUGUCAUGUAGCGGUGAAAUGCGUAGAGAUCGGCAGGAACACCCAGGGGGAAACCAGUCGACUGGGCAUCUACUGACGCUGAGGUGCGAGAGCGUGGGGAGCGAACCGG